CCCUUAGAUGUCCGGGGCCGCACGCGCGCUACACUGAAGGAAUCAGCGUGGCUUUCUCCCUGACCCGAAAGGGUUGGGAAACCCGUUGAAUCUCCUUCGUGAUAGGGAUUGGGGCUUGAAAUUGUUCCCCAUGAACGAGGAAUUCCCAGUAAGCGCGAGUCAUAAGCUCGCGUUGAUUACGUCCCUGCCCUUUGUACACACCGCCCGUCGCUACUACCGAUUGAACGGUUUAGUGAGAGCCUCGGAUUGGUCUCGGCCCGCUCUUUACCGGGCGGCGCCGUUGGUCGAGAAGACGCUCGAACUUGAUCGUUUAGAGGAAGUAAAAGUCGUAACA
This 334-nucleotide ribosomal RNA is filed under the name uncultured eukaryote. RNAcentral describes it as "partial 18S ribosomal RNA". It matches the Rfam family "Eukaryotic small subunit ribosomal RNA", at positions 1470 to 1796 of the family's 1831-position model. The record is from RNAcentral.